UACGUAGGGUGCGAGCGUUGUCCGGAAUUAUUGGGCGUAAAGAGCUCGUAGGCGGUUUGUCACGUCUGCUGUGAAAUCCCGAGGCUCAACCUCGGGCCUGCAGUGGGUACGGGCAGACUGGAGUGCGGUAGGGGAGAAUGGAAUUUCUGGUGUAGCGGUGGAAUGCGCAGAUAUCAGGAGGAACACCGGUGGCGAAGGCGGGUCUCUGGGCAACAACUGACGCUGAGGAGCGAAAGCGUGGGGAGCGAACAGG
This 253-nucleotide ribosomal RNA is filed under the name uncultured bacterium. RNAcentral describes it as "partial 16S ribosomal RNA". It matches the Rfam family "Bacterial small subunit ribosomal RNA", at positions 524 to 776 of the family's 1533-position model. The record is from RNAcentral.